ACACACACACACACUGAUCUCACGUCAGUCAUUUAAAAGUGCUGAUAACACAAUGCCUUUAAUGACCAACAAUCCUCAGAAGCCAUUUCUGCACAUAUAUCCUUUAUCUGUUAAUGACUGAAUGUAUCACGCCUGAAUUUCAUUACUCAGGGAAAAACGCCCAAGCAGAGAGAGAGGGCUGAUGGGAAGCGUUUCUCCAGUACUCUGACAGGACGCCGAGGACAAUCUCCACCGCGAGUCUUUCUUCUCAGGCGAAUCUCAUGCCAAUGUCACAUCAGGAAAUCUAGGUGCUAGGUGGUUGCUAGAGUAUUUUGACUGGUUUCUAAGGCAUCGCUAGGCAGUUGCUUUGGUGUUCUGACAUUGAUAGGUGGUUGCUAUUGUGUUUUGUCUGGUUUCUAAGGCAUCGCUAGGCAGUUGCUGUGGUGUUCUGACAUUGAUAGGUGGUUGCUAGAGUGUUUUGUCUGGUUUCUAAGGCAUCGCUAGGCAGUUGCUGUGGUGUUCUGGCAUUGCUAGGUGGUUGCUAGAGUGUUUUGUCUGGUUUCUAAGGCAUCGCUAGGCAGUUGCUUUGGUGUUCUGACAUUGCUAGGUGGUUGCUAUUGUGUUUUAGCUGGUUUCUAAGGCGUCGCUAGGCAGUUGCUUUGGUGUUCUGACAUUGCUAGGUGGUUGUUAUUGUGUUUUGUUUGGUUUCCAAGGCAUUGCUAUGCAAUUGCUCUGGUCUUCUGAAAUUGCUGGAGUGUUUUGGCUGGUUUCUAAGGCGUUGCUAGGUGGUUAUUUGGUGUUUUGACAUUGCUAGUUGGUUGCUAUGGUGUUUUGUCUCAUUUCUAAGGCGUUGCUAGGCAGUUGCUUUGGUGUUCUGACAUU
Cyprinus carpio carpio is the source of this 861-nucleotide long non-coding RNA. The record is from Ensembl. Lineage: Eukaryota; Metazoa; Chordata; Actinopteri; Cypriniformes; Cyprinidae.